AUUGAACGCUGGCGGCAGGCCUAACACAUGCAAGUCGAGCGGAUGAAGGGAGCUUGCUCCUGGAUUCAGCGGCGGACGGGUGAGUAAUGCCUAGGAAUCUGCCUGGUAGUGGGGGAUAACGUCCGGAAACGGGCGCUAAUACCGCAUACGUCCUGAGGGAGAAAGUGGGGGAUCUUCGGACCUCACGCUAUCAGAUGAGCCUAGGUCGGAUUAGCUAGUUGGUGGGGUAAAGGCCUACCAAGGCGACGAUCCGUAACUGGUCUGAGAGGAUGAUCAGUCACACUGGAACUGAGACACGGUCCAGACUCCUACGGGAGGCAGCAGUGGGGAAUAUUGGACAAUGGGCGAAAGCCUGAUCCAGCCAGGCCGCGUGUGUGAAGAAGGUCUUCGGAUUGUAAAGCACUUUAAGUUGGGAGGAAGGGAAGUAAGUUAAUACCUUGCUGUUUUGACGUUACCAACAGAAUAAGCACCGGCUAACUUCGU
RNAcentral lists this ribosomal RNA (483 nucleotides) under uncultured bacterium. RNAcentral's name for it is "partial 16S ribosomal RNA". It matches the Rfam family "Bacterial small subunit ribosomal RNA", at positions 30 to 506 of the family's 1533-position model. The record is from RNAcentral.